CACCCCACCUGGCCUCUGUUAGUCAUUGUUGAAUGAGAGAGUUUUUUGAAUUAAGAAUUAUUUCCAAACCAAAGUGAAUCAUAUUCCCUCCUACAUAUUCACAGCAAACUGCUUUUCCCCAUCUUUUGGAGCCAUUAUGAUGAUUGUCUUUCCCAUUUCUCUCCUUGGAGUUUCGAGUAUUUUAAGGCUGUUUUUCUCUGAUGUACUGUGAGUUCCUUAAGGUCGAGUUCCUUGUCACAUGUCACUGUCCCUGGUACCUAACACUAGGCCUGGUAUGCAGUAAGGUAUCAGCAGAUAUUUUAAAAAUCUGAUUGCUGUGGCUUUCUCAUGUUCGCAUUGUUCCUUCCUCACUGGUGGUGGGGGAACUUCUAGACUGCCUUCUUUUUUAAUCACCAGGCUAGAAAUCCAGUUGUCCAAGGAAUUUGGGUUGGGGAAUAUGGUGCAAUGAGCUGAUUGGGUUUGAAAUAACUGGAUGUGACUUAACCUGAACUGUUCCCCAUUUUUCAGGGGAGAACUGGUUAUAAUACUUGGCCAAAGGGUUGGGUUAACUAAAUGAAAUGCCUGUAAGGAGCAGCUUUUCCUAUUCCAUUGCUGUUAAUACAACUAUAAUUGGAUAUUUUGUGGGUCCUGAGUAAAGCUCCAUUCUUUACUUGAACUCUGAAAUAUUUAUUGUGAUCACCUUCCAGAGGUCUGUCUUGCUUAGUUCCUGACUCUUAGGAUUCUUAAAAUCACCUGGAAGGAGAUUCCCCUGUGUAAACAUUGAUACUACUGUGACUAUAACAAGAAGAUGUAAGUAACAUGAAUGUUCUCUUCUUAUCUGCCAGAGGAUGUUUGCAGGCAAGUAGCCUGAAAGAAUGCAUUGAAUGUUUUGAAAGGAAUCACAAACUUUUCAUGGACAAUCCACAUUAUAUUUAAUAAUGCAGCGUCCAUGUAGUGUUUCCGAUCUUGUGCUGUCAUCUGCUGAAGUCAGUAUCUGAUUACAAAUAAAUGACCAAUGUAUUUGUCUACAAGAGAACUUGAGGAUGUCGUGCACUGUGAACAAAUGCAGUUGAAAUGUCCAGAGAAAGGCCUUAUUUGUUUUGAUCUUCCUUUUUUUAGUCUCUUGAGAGGGUUUAGGCACAGCCAGGCAAGUAGGAGACAGGUGUUUAGACUUAAAGAAGACUUUUUGAACUGUUAGGCAGAAACCAGUUUUUCUUCUGUAGCAUUUCCCCCCAGUCCCAUAAGGGAGGAGAGGAAAAUAAUAUUUAAAUGUAUAAGUAAGGAAAUUAGUUUAUUUUGUAUUAAAAUUAAUACUCAUAGCUUUUGUAUAUGUCUUAUAUUUAAAGAAUCAUCUUUUCAAAACUUAAUUGCGAAAGGGAAUACUGUGUCUUUCACCAAAUUCAUCUUAUUAGUAAAUACAAGUUUUAUCACUAUGUUCAUAUGUGUUAUUAAAUUAUGUCUGAACAGUAUAGCUGAACAGAGACCUCGUAGUGGUCUAAAAGUUUUCCAGGGCCAUUGGGCUUCCCACAGACCCUCUUAAGUCUGCUAGAUUUAUUUUUUCAGUUAGGGUUUUAAGUUUAGUUUUGCUAUUUAUUUACAAAUAGAAAACUUAAAAAACAGGUAAGUGACAGUUCCUCAAUUCUCCCUGUCUCCUUUUUUACUUCCAAGUCCUUAUGUAGUUUCUAAAUGUGUCAUUGCAAUCUUUAUUUAUUUUACUGUUCUGAACUAAGACUUUUGAGAUAAGUCCUACGUGAUGAGGAUACCUUGAAUCCUAGUGCGGGGUUGGGGAUAGGGGUUAAGAAUUACAGUGACAGGCUAUGAAAUAGUGUUGUCAUAACUUAUCAGUGGCUAGUAAAUAGGGUAGUUGCCUUCUGACACCAUUUUGAGUGAAGGCAGCUUAAUUGCAUUGCUUCUGUUUAGAUAAGCAUUUAGAAUCUACUGUCAAAGGUAUGAAUGCUGUGCUUAAAGUAUUUCUAUUAUAAAAGAUUUGAUUUCUUCAGUGAUUUUUCUAAGUUCCACUUUACAUCAAAAGUUAUUUGGACAGUGUCUUUCACUGUAUGUGUAUGUGGAGAAACACUGCUUACAAAUGUAUGUAAAUCUGGUGACUAAAAUAUUGAAAAUUUUGCAAAUACAUGAUUGAUAGUUGGUGAUUUAAACUCAUGUGUUACCUGUCGUUCCCCUUCCCCCGCCGGCCAAAGAAAAAGAAUCCUGUGAAAAAACAAUUAAAC
This is a long non-coding RNA of Bos taurus (domestic cattle), 2207 nucleotides long. The record is from Ensembl. Lineage: Eukaryota; Metazoa; Chordata; Mammalia; Artiodactyla; Bovidae.